UCAGAACAAGAUCAUCCCAUGGAAUAUUGAACUCUUCUACAUCACUAAGAAGUUCUCCAUCAUUUAUUGUAUCUGCUCUUGGGUGAGACAAUGCCAUCAGUGGUUGAGCAUCUUCCCCUAUUGGAGGGACAUGCUUCACAGGAACCAGGUCCUUGUCCACGUUCAUUGAGUUUAACAUACUUGAAGGAUUAUACAUUUUGGCACACGAACCAGGUCCUUGUCCAAGUUCAUUGAGUUUAACAUACUUGAAGGAUGAUCCAUUUUGGAAAGUUGAGAUUCUUUAUCACGCCCCUUUUUCCAUGCAUUUGAUGGAGGCAGAGAUAACAGAGAAAUUGCAUCACGGUUACUUGAACUUGGGACU
RNAcentral lists this long non-coding RNA (361 nucleotides) under Nicotiana benthamiana. RNAcentral's name for it is "long non-coding RNA (NBEN_LNC028019)". The record is from RNAcentral. Lineage: Eukaryota; Viridiplantae; Streptophyta; Magnoliopsida; Solanales; Solanaceae.